CCGGUUGAUCCUGCCGGACCCCACUGCUAUCGGGAUAGGACUAAGACAUGCUAGUCAAGCGCUUUCUAGCUAAUGUGAGAGCGCGGCGUACAACUCAGUAACACGUGGCCAACCUGCCCUUGGGACGGGAACACCCCCGGGAAACUGGGGUUAAUUCCCGAUAGGUGAAGAAGUCUGGAAUGAUUCUUCGCUCAAAAGACGUUUAUGUCAUGCUCAUAUUCGUCGCCCAGGGAUGGGGCCGCGACCGAUCAGGUAGUUGGUGAGGCAAUGGCUCACCAAGCCUUUUACCGGUGCGGGCCGUGAGAGCGGGAGCCCGGAGAUGGGCACUGAGACAAGGGCCCAGGCCCCACGGGGCGCAGCAGUCGCGAAAAUUUUGCAAUACACGAAAGUGUGACAGAGCUAUCCCGAGUGCCAUCCGCUGAGGAAGGCUUUUACCCAGUAUAAAUAGCUGGGAGAAUAAGGAGAGGGCAAGUCUGGUGUCAGCCGCCGCGGUAAUACCAGCUCUCCGAGUAGUGUGGACGUUUAUUGGGCCUAAAGCAUCCGUAGCUUGCUAGAUAAGUCCUCUGUUAAAUCCACCGAUUCAAUCGUUGGAUUGCGGGGGAUACUGUUUGGCUAGGGGACGGGAGAGGUCGACGGUAUUUCCGGGGUAGGGGUGAAAUCCUAUAAUCCCGGGAGGACCACCAGUGGCGAAGGCUGUCGACUAGAACGCGCCCGACGGUGAGGGAUGAAAGCUGGGGGAGCGAACCGGAUUAGAUACCCGGGUAGUCCCAGCUGUAAACGAUGCAGGCUAGGUGUUUGGGCGGCCACGAGCCGCCCUAGUGCCGCAGGGAAGCUGUUAAGCCUGCCGCCUGGGGAGUACGGCCGCAAGGCUGAAACUUAAAGGAAUUGGCGGGGGAGCACCACAAGGGGUGAAGCUUGCGGUUUAAUUGGAGUCAACGCCGGGAAUCUC
RNAcentral lists this ribosomal RNA (949 nucleotides) under uncultured archaeon. RNAcentral describes it as "bacterial SSU rRNA". It matches the Rfam family "Archaeal small subunit ribosomal RNA", at positions 4 to 928 of the family's 1478-position model. The record is from RNAcentral.